RNAcentral lists this long non-coding RNA (468 nucleotides) under Capra hircus (goat). RNAcentral's name for it is "lncRNA (ENSCHIG00000006402.1)". The record is from RNAcentral. Lineage: Eukaryota; Metazoa; Chordata; Mammalia; Artiodactyla; Bovidae.
CAGAAAGGACAUUGAGAGGUCUGAGCUAUGUGACCCAGAUUCUCUAUUACAGUUAAACAAGUUGCUUUCUACAUCGAAGAGCAAGAUUAUACAAAAUUCACUUAUGAGGAGAAAAUGUCCUCAGAGGUGGCAGUUCCCAGAUCUCAACUCUUCCUGGGGUAGAGUGGGAUGCCAUGCACAGAAGGAAGGAGAGGAAAAGAGAUAUGCCAGCAAAGGCUCUGCGAUUGCACGGACUCUGGCUUUCCUUGGACUCACGAGGGCUUUAAGGAAAUUUACUGAAUCCUUGAAAAACUAAUCAUCCCUUUACAGCCUCGGGUGAGUUACUGCAAAAUUUAAUUUCUGCUAAGCUACCUGAGAUUGCAAACACCAAAAUAAAUGUAUGGUAUUUACCUGUCUGCUGAGUUUCUGUUUUUCUCUCUGACCCACACUUCAGAGUGUGUCAUGCUCUUGCAAAGCACUUUGGGAUGC